GGGUUGUGAGGUUAAGCGACUAAGCGUACACGGUGGAUGCCUAGGCAGUCAGAGGCGAUGAAGGGCGUGCUAAUCUGCGAAAAGCGUCGGCAAGGUGAUAUGAACCGUUAUACCCGACGAUACCCGAAUGGGGAAACCCAGUGUGAUUCGUCACACUAUCAUUAACUGAAUCCAUAGGUUAAUGAGGCGAACCGGGGGAACUGAAACAUCUCAGUACCCCGAGGAAAAGAAAUCAACCGAGAUUCCCCCAGUAGCGGCGAGCGAACGGGGAGGAGCCCAGAACCUGAAUCGGCUUGUGUGUCAGUGGAAGCGUCUGGAAAGGCGCACGAUACAGGGUGACAGUCCCGUACACGAAGAUGCACAGGUCGUGAGUUCGAUGAGUAGGGCGGGACACGUGGUAUCCUGUCUGAACAUGGGGGGACCAUCCUCCAAGGCUAAAUACUCCUGACUGACCGAUAGUGAACCAGUACCGUGAGGGAAAGGCGAAAAGAACCCCGGCGAGGGGAGUGAAAUAGAACCUGAAACCGUGUACGUACAAGCAGUGGGAGCACCUUUAGGGUGUGACUGCGUACCUUUUGUAUAAUGGGUCAGCGACUUAUAUUCUGUAGCAAGGUUAACCGAAUAGGGGAGCCGCAGGGAAACCGAGUCUUAACUGGGCGUCUAGUUGCAGGGUAUAGACCCGAAACCCGGUGAUCUAGCCAUGGGCAGGUUGAAGGUUGGGUAACACUAACUGGAGGACCGAACCGACUAAUGUUGAAAAAUUAGCGGAUGACUUGUGGCUGGGGGUGAAAGGCCAAUCAAACCGGGAGAUAGCUGGUUCUCCCCGAAAGCUAUUUAGGUAGCGCCUCGUGAACUCAUCUUCGGGGGUAGAGCACUGUUUCGGCUAGGGGGCCAUCCCGGCUUACCAACCCGAUGCAAACUGCGAAUACCGAAGAAUGUUAUCACGGGAGACACACGGCGGGUGCUAACGUCCGUCGUGAAGAGGGAAACAACCCAGACCGCCAGCUAAGGUCCCAAAGUCAUGGUUAAGUGGGAAACGAUGUGGGAAGGCCCAGACAGCCAGGAUGUUGGCUUAGAAGCAGCCAUCAUUUAAAGAAAGCGUAAUAGCUCACUGGUCGAGUCGGCCUGCGCGGAAGAUGUAACGGGGCUAAAACCAUGCACCGAAGCUGCGGCAGCGACACUGUGUGUUGUUGGGUAGGGGAGCGUUCUGUAAGCCUGUGAAGGUGGCCUGUGAGGGCUGCUGGAGGUAUCAGAAGUGCGAAUGCUGACAUAAGUAACGAUAAUGCGGGUGAAAAACCCGCACGCCGGAAGACCAAGGGUUCCUGUCCAACGUUAAUCGGGGCAGGGUGAGUCGACCCCUAAGGCGAGGCUGAAAAGCGUAGUCGAUGGGAAACAGGUUAAUAUUCCUGUACUUGGUGUUACUGCGAAGGGGGGACGGAGAAGGCUAUGUCAUCCGGGCGACGGUUGUCCCGGUUUAAGCGUGCAGGUGGGUGGACCAGGUAAAUCCGGUCUGCUGUUAACACUGAGGCGUGAUGACGAGGCACUACGGUGCUGAAGUGACAGAUGCCCGGCUUCCAGGAAAAGCCUCUAAGCAUCAGGUAACAUUGAAUCGUACCCCAAACCGACACAGGUGGUCAGGUAGAGAAUACUCAGGCGCUUGAGAGAACUCGGGUGAAGGAACUAGGCAAAAUGGUGCCGUAACUUCGGGAGAAGGCACGCUCCUGUUGGUGAAGUCCCUCGCGGAUGGAGCUGAGGGGAGUCGCAGAUACCAGCUGGCUGCAACUGUUUAAUAAAAACACAGCACUGUGCAAACACGAAAGUGGACGUAUACGGUGUGACGCCUGCCCGGUGCCGGAAGGUUAAUUGAUGGGGUUAUCCGUAAGGAGAAGCUCUUGAUCGAAGCCCCGGUAAACGGCGGCCGUAACUAUAACGGUCCUAAGGUAGCGAAAUUCCUUGUCGGGUAAGUUCCGACCUGCACGAAUGGCGUAAUGAUGGCCAGGCUGUCUCCACCCGAGACUCAGUGAAAUUGAACUCGCUGUGAAGAUGCAGUGUACCCGCGGCAAGACGGAAAGACCCCGUGAACCUUUACUAUAGCUUGACACUGAACCUUGAGCCUUGAUGUGUAGGAUAGGUGGGAGGCUUUGAAGUGUGGACGCCAGUCUGCAUGGAGCCAACCUUGAAAUACCACCCUUUAAUGUUUGAUGUUCUAACCUGGGCCCGUAAUCCGGGCUGGGGACAGUGUCUGGUGGGUAGUUUGACUGGGGCGGUCUCCUCCCAAAGAGUAACGGAGGAGCACGAAGGUUAGCUAAUCCUGGUCGGACAUCAGGAGGUUAGUGCAAAGGCAUAAGCUAGCUUGACUGCGAGAGUGACGGCUCGAGCAGGUGCGAAAGCAGGUCUUAGUGAUCCGGUGGUUCUGAAUGGAAGGGCCAUCGCUCAACGGAUAAAAGGUACUCCGGGGAUAACAGGCUGAUACCGCCCAAGAGUUCAUAUCGACGGCGGUGUUUGGCACCUCGAUGUCGGCUCAUCACAUCCUGGGGCUGAAGUAGGUCCCAAGGGUAUGGCUGUUCGCCAUUUAAAGUGGUACGCGAGCUGGGUUUAGAACGUCGUGAGACAGUUCGGUCCCUAUCUGCCGUGGGCGUUGGAAGAUUGAGGGGGGUUGCUCCUAGUACGAGAGGACCGGAGUGAACGCACCGCUGGUGUUCGGGUUGUCAUGCCAAUGGCACUGCCCGGUAGCUACGUGCGGAAGAGAUAACCGCUGAAAGCAUCUAAGCGGGAAACUUGCCCCGAGAUGAGUCUUCCCUGGGAACUAGAUUCCCCUGAAGGGACGUUCGAGACGAGGACGUUGAUAGGCUGGGUGUGUAAGCGUAGCGAUACGUUGAGCUAACCAGUACUAAUGACCCGAGAGGCUUAACCUUACAACACCGAAGGUGUUU
This 2933-nucleotide ribosomal RNA is filed under the name Dickeya zeae EC1. RNAcentral describes it as "bacterial LSU rRNA". It matches the Rfam family "Bacterial large subunit ribosomal RNA". The record is from RNAcentral. Lineage: Bacteria; Pseudomonadati; Pseudomonadota; Gammaproteobacteria; Enterobacterales; Pectobacteriaceae.